RNAcentral lists this long non-coding RNA (3967 nucleotides) under Homo sapiens (human). Its description in RNAcentral is "HSALNT0382422". The record is from RNAcentral. Lineage: Eukaryota; Metazoa; Chordata; Mammalia; Primates; Hominidae.
AGUGUGUUCACACCACCUGCUGGGGCGUGAAAACCAGCCAUAAAUACCUGCAUGGUGGUGGUGGCUCAUCAGGAGUGGGGAGAGAGGCCUGGUGCGCUUUCAGGAAGUUCCCAGUGACUCACAGGCUGUGGACCCCUCUCUGCACUUCCAGACACCCCUCCUCCCAAACAUACACACUCAGAACGGGCGGUGCAGGGAGCAGUGCCCAUCCAUUCCCAACACCAGGGGCUGAGGGCACUGGGAGGAAGGAGCCCUGGCCAGCCAGCUUGUAGGGACUCCACACAUCACAGCCCAAGACGCUGGGACAGCAGGCCCCAGGGCCCACAGUGGGGUGGGUGGGAUAGGGUGGAGGCAUGGCCCUGAGGCCCACUCUUUAUCACUGCCUCUCUCCCAAGAGCUACCCAGACCACUCAGUAGACCAGUGCCCAGCUCUCUUUCUAGGCUUAAACUUGGCAGCAGAGUCCCAUUUACUUAACGUGCUGAAGGUAGAGCGAGGUGGACGUGCACGCCUCAUGGCUAAAGAUAAAUGCCAGCUAAUGCCUGAAGUGUGGAAAACAUCGUGAACAAAUUCAGGGCUACUGUGUUCAUCCUCCCAUCCCUAGGCCAGUGGGUCUCUGACUGGUGAACACAGGGCUGCUGCCUCCGUGGGCCUCAGUUCUGAGCCUGCCCGCACUCUGCAUCCCAUACACGUCUUCCCAGUCCCACCAGAGAGCUGGCUCCAGACCCGCUUUAGAAGAGCUGGUGGCCUUUCCUGAAGCCAGCCGUGUGCACUGGGAACUGAAGUGUAAACAGGAGCAAAGCUCAAGGCCUCGCUGGUAAUUCUCCCUUUGUGGUGGGCAUUAGCUAGCCUCACUCACGAAGGGGACAGCCCAGGGGUGUAAGAUGCCAAGUGCCCUUAGACACCUCCACUGCCUGGGGGUGCCAGGUGGCCUCGGUGUGGCUGGCAGCCCAGGGUGAGUCCUGUGAUGAGCAAGUGCAUGGGCAAGCAGGCCUGGCUUUCUCCAUCUGCAAAGCAGGGAUGGUGUCUGCCUCAUUUAGAGGCUGGGGAGUGGGCGAGAUAAAAGGGUGGUUGAAGGGGCUUCAGCAUGAGCCUGGUGGCGUGUGAUGGAACAGACACCCAGCUGCCAAGGGGCAAAUACAUCCAUACCCCUGCCCCACCUUCUAGGCCUAGUAAAGUAGUAAAAUAGUCAGUAAAGGCACCAAUUGUCCCCACCUGUGUCUAGCUGCACAUCAAGGAAAUGUGUCUGGUCCAGGCAUUGUGACCUGUAAGGGACUCCACCCCGCCCUGCCACAGAGCAGUGGGCGGGGAACCCGGACCUACAUGGAGGCGCCUCCCCAGGAUGGACAUGGCACCCACAUUGGCACCCUCUGGUCUUGUCCCCACAGGACACCCCUCUGUCAUGGUGAUCAAGACGGCUAGGGGGCAGGGAAGGCGAGAAGAGGGAGGAGACACUGGUGUGACUCAUAGCAAAGUAAGAGCUUCUUCCCUCCUCUCUGCACCCCAAAUACGCACUUUUCCUGGAAGGGAACAGCUGGGCUGCUGGAGUCACAGAGGAAAUAUUUUUCUGGCUACGUUGCACAUUCCCCUUCUCUAUGAAAAUUGGUGCCACCAUUGCUAACUGAUGGAUGGACAGUGAGAUAUCUAUUUCCUUGCCUCCUUCUUUCCUCCCUCUCUCUGGGCUUUGUCCUGAGACAUCCGGAAAGGAAAGGGCAGUCAGACAGCAGCCACAGGGAGAGGGUGGUAAGUGGGGAGGACUUUGGUAUCAGGUGUGGAUAGCUGGGGCCCUCAGGAUCAUCAUUAACCCCAUUUUACAGAUGAGGAGACUGAGUCCCAAGAUCACCCAGAUACAAUAAUAAUUGUAGUAUUAACAUACAAGUUACCAUUGAAGGAGCACCGGCUGCGUUCCAGGCACUGUGCUAGACACUUCACAUGCGGUGAACCUGUGAGGCAGAUCCAUGACUGGCAACAUUGUACAGAGGGGAAAACUGAGGCUCAAAGAAGGCAAGUCACUAGCCCAGCUACUGUCACACAGCCAGGCCAGCAGAGCGGCAAUGUCCACUCACACAACCAUGCACAUGGCCACUGUGUCAGCUGCAUGCCUUCCCCACUCCCCAGCUGGCUGAAAACUGGUGGAGCUGAGAUCUGAACCCACAUUUAUCCAUGUUCUUACUCCAAGGCUGGGCUCUACUCCCAUGUUGACUGCUGCUGCCAAGAGAACUUUAAACAGCAGUUCUAGCCACAGCAGGACCCAGCCUGAUCCUGGCCCCAACCUGUGGCCAAAUGGGACAGAGAUCCAGGCCCAGCUUGUCUCAGCCUCUGGCCUGACCUCUCUGGGCCUCAGAGGCCUUGCUAUGAAAGGGGGAGCUGUAGGUAGAAUAAAUGAAGUGGCACUGAGGCCCCCCGGGACCGUACUGACUCACACAUGGUGGCCCAGGGCAUACCCAUUUCCCAAGGGUCACCCCUUGUGCACCCUGCUCUCCAGGGCUGGAGACCUCAGGCAGGCCCCUGAUUCUCUGGGACCCCAGUCUGCUCCCUGCUGCCCUGCUAAACAGAGUUCCCAAAGAGAGAGACAACAGGAACCCAGGCCUUGGUCUCAAACCUGCAGCCACACACCCCAGUGGCCUCCAGGAAUCCUGCACACACAUCCCAGAACCCCUCAGCUCUGCAUGUACUAUUGUGGGUUCUGGUCCGUGGAACCCAAAGUCCAAACAUAGGGAAGUGCCUUUCAGACACAUCCAAGAAAUGACCCUUAAUCCUCCAAGCUAAGAGAGAUCAUCUGGACUAGACGUGGUAGUGACAUAGGCUAGCAGUCUGUAUUGUCUGCAAACCCAGAACUGUCCUUGGCUGGCCAAUGUAAAUGUGUUUUAAUAGCCACACACACGGUCAUAUAAAUGGGAAUGUUCUAGGUAAAUGUGUGGUCUGUGUAAAUGUUCAUAAAUUCAAAGUAAACAUGUUGGGUGGUGACGCCUGUAUACAAUGUAAAUGUCCAUUCUUUGGUAAGACAGAGGACUUUAUGAAAGAUACGUCUGGCUGAUGGAGACGCACACAUGUGCAGUCAGUGGGAAUGCCUGUUUAGUACAAAUAUAAGGUUGAGACAAAUACCCACAUGAGUCUGUAAUAUGGGAUCAACCAUCAGAGAUGGAAGUCACCACGGAGAAACAGCAAGGUCAUUUCCACCAGGGACCAGAAGAGCAAAGAUUCAGGGGUACCACACGGAAAGAAGAGAGUGAUUUGGAGGAGGAAGGGGGUUCAGGAAGGAGCUGAGGGGUAGGGCACUCUGGCUUCUGGGUCAGGGUGGAGAGCUGGGUCAGCUGGGGCUAGGGGUACUGGGGAAGGUUUCUAGCUGGAGGAUAGAAACCAAGGGAACCCAGAGGGCAGUUAGGGGCUCUGGAAUCCAGUGUGGCAGGCAGGACUCUUGCUGAGGCUGGACUCCCACAGCCUGCCCCCCCGAGUGCAGCAGCCCCCAACACUGCUCAUGGCUGGGCAGGUGAUAGCCACCAAGGGGAGAGUGGAGAUGAUGAAAGGGUGGAGAUCUUUUCCCCGCGACUCCUACCACCAACUCUGUCACCCCAGGGGGUUGGUUAUGGCAAAACAGAACUAGAGAGCCAGCAAGACUUAGUUCCAGGUCCACCCAGCCACUGGGUAACAAUGGCCAAUGCCCCCCAAAUCCCAAGCCUCAGUGUUCUCCGUGGAAAAUGGGAGAGGUGAUAAAUACCACCCACACAUUCUCACAUAAGCUCAGAGGUAAAAUUGCUUUGCAAACUGUUAAGUGGUGAACAAUGUGAGAUGAAGGUGCUUUGCUGGCCCUGGGGCUUUGUUGCCAAUUAACAGGCACUGGGGUGGCCGAUUUGAUGUUUACGGCGUGGUGUGUAAGCCUGUGCACGGCAUGUACAUGCAUGUAUGUGUGUUUGUGUUUAAGACUCGAGGCUUUCAGAGACUAUGCCAUGGAGGUUUGGAGUGAGGGGG